GACGAACCGUGCGAACGUUGUUCGGAUUCACUGGGCUUAAAGGGCGCGUAGGCGGGCUCUCAAGUCGGGGGUGAAAUCCCACAGCUCAACUGUGGAAGUGCCUCCGAUACUGGGAGCCUUGAGGGAGGUAGGGGUGCGUGGAACUUCCGGUGGAGCGGUGAAAUGCGUAGAUAUCGGAAGGAACGCCGGUGGCGAAAGCGACGCACUGGAUCUCUUCUGACGCUGAGGCGCGAAAGCCAGGGGAGCAAACGGG
This 253-nucleotide ribosomal RNA is filed under the name uncultured bacterium. RNAcentral's name for it is "partial 16S ribosomal RNA". It matches the Rfam family "Bacterial small subunit ribosomal RNA", at positions 524 to 776 of the family's 1533-position model. The record is from RNAcentral.